UACGUAGGGCGCAAGCGUUGUCCGGAAUCAUUGGGCGUAAAGAGCUCGUAGGCGGCCUGUUGCGUCCGCUGUGAAAUCCCGGGGCUUAACCCCGGGCGUGCAGUGGAUACGGGCUGGCUGGAGGCAGGCAGGGGAGAACGGAAUUCCCGGUGUAGCGGUGAAAUGCGCAGAUAUCAGGAGGAACACCGGUGGCGAAGGCGGGUCUCUGGGCCGUAACUGACGCUGAGGAGCGAAAGCGUGGGGAGCGAACAGG
Molecule: ribosomal RNA, 253 nt
Filed under: uncultured bacterium
Lineage: Bacteria
Description: partial 16S ribosomal RNA
Rfam family: Bacterial small subunit ribosomal RNA
Source: RNAcentral